GACGAACGCUGGCGGCGUGCUUAACACAUGCAAGUCGAACGAUGAAGAAAAGAAUCGAAGCUUCGGCAGAAAUUCAUUUCGGAUUAGUGGCAGACGGGUGAGUAACGCGUGAGCAACCUACCUCUCACAAAGGGAUAGCCUCGGGAAACCGGGAUUAAUACCAUAUAACAUUGCGACGAAGCAUUUCGAUGCAAUCAAAGCUACGGCGGUAAGAGAUGGGCUCGCGUCCCAUUAACCGGAUGGUGAGGUAACGGCUCACCAUAGUGACGAUGGGUAACCGGCCUGAGAGGGUGAACGGUCACACUGGAACUGAGACACGGUCCAGACUCCUACGGGAGGCAGCAGUGGGGAAUAUUGCACAAUGGAGGGAACUCUGAUGCAGCGACGCCGCGUGAGUGAUGAAGGAAUUCGUUUCGUAAAACUCUGUUCUAUGGGAAGAAAAGGACUGUACCAUAGGAGAAAGCUCCGGCUAAAUACGUG
Molecule: ribosomal RNA, 480 nt
Filed under: uncultured bacterium
Lineage: Bacteria
Description: partial 16S ribosomal RNA
Rfam family: Bacterial small subunit ribosomal RNA
Source: RNAcentral